ACCUGCUCAGCACUGGCCCCUUGAGCAGCUCCCACUCAGGUUGCAUUCGGCUCCUGUCAAACCCAAGGGGAAGGCAUCGCUCGUCCGGACACGAGGGACCCAGAUCUGGAGAAGCCCAGCAGCUGCCCGGGGCCACAGCUCUGCCUGCUGGGGACGACGGGACCCCGACCUCACCUGCCCCUGCGCCCGUGGUCACGCACGCACAGGAGCUCCGCCGCGUCAUCCGCUGCCACCACGAUGUGGCGACAUCACUGCCCAGAAGCAGAAGUGUCCCGCCAGGAUUGGGUGGGGUGACAGGAGCAGGGGGGAUGGGGUGUGAGACAAGGCAGCCUCUGUGGCCAGAGAGGGACAUUAGGGGGCAGACUGUGAAGACCCCGAGUCCCAUGGGGAGGCAGGGUUUGGUACGUAGCAGAGACCCCUGGAAGGUUUUGGGUGGCACUAAAAUACGAACAGGGCAGUCUGGUUAGAUUUUUAAGUGAGGAAGCAGAACGUGGACCCCAGGGAUCAGCCCGUCCAACCCCCUCGGGCCGCAGCCUGAGAAGUCCAGAGGGGACAUGUGUCUCUCAAGGUCACAGCCGGGAGACGGCUGUGGGGCCCGAGCUGCUGUCCUUCCUGGGACAGGCGCGGACUUCCAGACCCUCUCGGGCAUGGUGACAACCAGUGCAUGUGGCCAGGUAGAUUUGCGUUAAUUGAGAUGGAAUGCACUGGACUGGGAUCCGGAAUCGCCCUCCACACCUCUCAGGUGCCCGACCCGUAUGUGGUAGCCCGUGGCUGGCACCCUGGAUGUGGCAGAUCUAGAACAUUCCUAUCAUGGCAGAAAGCUCUGCUGCACAGGCUGUCCUCCACCGCUCUGCCUUCCAGGAUUUCAGGCAGUCAUCUGCCCCCAGGGCCCACGCGUGAACCGCCCCCGCCCCAGCUCCUGGCACCGGGUCCGGCAUCGGGCCUGUGUCCGUGAAGGGCCUGGCCGGCCCGCCGGAGGCCUCUUAAGGCCUUCUCAGUCCCCCUCCCUCCUGCUCCCUGCAGCCGCUCGAGUCCUUGGCAACAGCUCUGUUCCCCAGUUUCGGCCAAAAACUGCUGAGCCAAGCGGCUGGAGGGAGACGUGGGUCUGGGCUGACGGUGGCACCACCGUGGCCUGGAAUGUUCCGCCCCGUGGCCUGGGCCCGGCACAGGAAGCAGGCCAAGCAGGUGGCAUUUUCACUCAGUGAUUUCAUUCGUGGCUGCCUGUGUUCAUGACCGUGACAUAUUAAUCAUGCAAAUUAGGACAUUAUUAAUGAAGGAAAAGCUAAUUCUGCCGCCGCUUCUGGGUUCGCUGUGACAGCUUUCUUCACGCCCGGUCACCGCGAAUACCGGCAGCGACUUCUCCUCGGCUGCAGCAAAUCGACGCGUUCCAUUCAGGGUAAAGGUUGGGGACCCAAGUGCAGGGGCGACUGUCCUCAUCAGGGCUGGUGUUGAAAGCAUAGACAGAGUGUGAGCAGGGGAGGGCCAGAGAGAGGGAG
Suricata suricatta (meerkat) is the source of this 1496-nucleotide long non-coding RNA. RefSeq lists it as uncharacterized. The transcript has 3 exons. Lineage: Eukaryota; Metazoa; Chordata; Mammalia; Carnivora; Herpestidae. The record is from RefSeq and is a predicted model, not a curated record.